CCUACGGGUGGCAGCAGUGAGGAAUAUUGGUCAAUGGACGAGAGCCUGAACCAGCCAAGUAGCGUGAAGGAUGACUGCCCUAUGGGUUGUAAACUUCUUUUAUAUGGGAAUAAAAUGUUCCACGUGUGGGAUUUUGUAUGUACCAUAUGAAUAAGGAUCGGCUAACUCCGUGCCAGCAGCCGCGGUAAUACGGAAGAUCCGAGCGUUAUCCGGAUUUAUUGGGUUUAAAGGGAGCGUAGGUGGAUUGGUAAGUCAGUUGUGAAAGUUUGCGGCUCAACCGUAAAAUUGCAUUUGAAACUGGCAGUCUUGAGUACAGUAGAGGUUGGCGGAAUUCGUGGUGUAGCGGUGAAAUGCUUAGAUAUCACGAAGAACUCCGAUUGCGAAGGCAGCUCACUGGACUGCAACUGACACUGAGGCUCGAAAGUGUGGGUAUCAAACAGGAUUAGAUACCCCUGUAGUC
Molecule: ribosomal RNA, 460 nt
Filed under: uncultured bacterium
Lineage: Bacteria
Description: partial 16S ribosomal RNA
Rfam family: Bacterial small subunit ribosomal RNA
Source: RNAcentral